Molecule: ribosomal RNA, 361 nt
Filed under: Himalayapotamon emphysetum
Lineage: Eukaryota; Metazoa; Arthropoda; Malacostraca; Decapoda; Potamidae
Also listed under: 1 other name
Description: partial 28S ribosomal RNA
Source: RNAcentral
GAAAGUGAAAGGGGGGCGUCCCGGGGCUUGCUCCGGUCGGCGCCCUCCGGGGCCGAUCCCCGACGGUUCGUCGCCGCCGGUGUCAUCCCACACCAAAGCGGGGCCGAUGCGGGAGCGGCGCGGGGUGAGACCCUUUCCCCCGUUGUCCGACUCCCGGCCCCGUGGGUACCCGGUGCGCGCGGCAGUCCGGCGGCUGCUCUUUCUCCCUUCCUCUCGGGGGAGGGAGGAGGCGGCCGCCGCUUGUACGCAGGGGGGCGCAGGCCCGGGACUUGCCAUGCGACGCCGUCGCGCAAAUCUGUUGUUGGCCUCGCCGGCUUUGCUUGGGCUCUCGGUUGGCGGGCCGCGCGUCAGACGAGCUUUA